AAAAAAGAAGACAUGGCUCAUCUUCAAGAAUUGGAAGCUCUCACCAAAGCUCUCUCAGGUUCCUUUUAACUUUAUUUCAUUCUUUGUUUUUUUCUCUUUAGAAAAUAACCAUAUUAAUUCUUUGAUCAUAAAUGUUCAUUUCUUUGCAUAAUUAAGAAUUGAUCUUGCUUCCUUCUUGACAUUCUCUCUUGUUUUCUAAUGAACUAUUCAACUCUCUUGUGGCCACAUUCAUAUCCUGUUAUGUAUUUUUAUUUUCCUCAUUACACAACAAACAACAAUUA
This 281-nucleotide unclassified non-coding RNA is filed under the name Hevea brasiliensis (rubber tree). The record is from RNAcentral. Lineage: Eukaryota; Viridiplantae; Streptophyta; Magnoliopsida; Malpighiales; Euphorbiaceae.